This 361-nucleotide long non-coding RNA is filed under the name Nicotiana tabacum (common tobacco). RNAcentral describes it as "long non-coding RNA (NTAB_LNC002660)". The record is from RNAcentral. Lineage: Eukaryota; Viridiplantae; Streptophyta; Magnoliopsida; Solanales; Solanaceae.
UGGCCAUAAUGCGCUAAACUCUGAAAACCAGCCAGGCUUAAUAGAGUCGGAGCUUCCCAGUAGCUCGUUGCCAUUGUCAUGGCUGAUUGUCCCGUUCUGUUGUUCGGAUGUCCCAUUCUGGUGGCCGUUCCGAUGUUCGAAAGUGCCAUUCUGGUGCCCGUUUUGGUGUUUGGAAGUGCCAUUCUGGUAGCCGUUGAGGUGUUCAGAAGUGCCAUUUUGGUGGCCGUUCAUGGGAAUGGCACCAUUCUUGAAGAUGGUAGAGCCAUUUGUGUUGGUAGAUAUGACUUCCAUUUUCAAAAUUAAACUAAACAAAUUGAAGAAGAGAAAGUAUUAUGGUUUGUAUUUUCCGAAAGCUUGCUGU